This is a long non-coding RNA of Pseudomyrmex gracilis, 1903 nucleotides long. RefSeq lists it as uncharacterized. The record is from RefSeq and is a predicted model, not a curated record. The transcript is spliced from 5 exons. Lineage: Eukaryota; Metazoa; Arthropoda; Insecta; Hymenoptera; Formicidae.
UUGAGAAAACAAAAUAUAUAACAAACAGGUACGCAAAGUUUCGAGAGACGGUGAAAUUUGAGAGACAGUGAAAAAGUAUUUAAUGGCGGCUAAUAAACGUAUGCGCGAGAAAAAGAAUUUCAGAUAGCUAAUUAGUCAACCACUUCGGUCGAGUUUGAAUCGAGAUUCGCACGACUGAUUUAGAAUUCCCAACGCGUAUAUGCAAGAAGGCGUUAAUCCCUUAAGCAGUGAUAACACAACGGAACUUUAUAAUCCAGUUUCGAACGCGUGUUCUCUCGAGCGCGACCCUCCGCUUCUGUUCGCCCUCUUCCACCGGUUUCGCUUCUAUGGUCUCAUCAUGAAGCUCGUUUAUUCUUAUGUUUACAUUAAAUGCGAUCAAAUCAAGGAGAACAAGUAAGACAAAAAAAUUCCCUUAACAAAUACUGAAAAUUUAACAAGCAUAAAAAUUGGCAUUUGGUUACAUCCGCGAAACAUCAUUACGUGGCGAAAACAGAUAUAUUUUUUUUUUAAUAAUAAAUCACGGAUUUCUUUUCCAGAUGGAGUCGGUUACCAUUUCGAGAAAGCGGCAGGGAAUUAAUUAAAGAGAAGAAAGUUAAAUCUUCCCGCCGAGAGUAUUUAAACGGUCGCUUGUCGUCCGAGCUUUCAAGUUACGAGGAAAAGAGGAUGGUAGAGGAGGAGAAAAAGAAGGGAUGAAGAGCCUCAUUUGAUUCGACGCGAUUAUUAUUAUUAUACUCAUCUAUUUAUUGGCAAAAAAAAAGACCGGUAGUAUUAUUUGCUGGAGAUAAAAUGGAUCAUAUUUUAUCAGUGCGCUUACACUCUCGAGUCGUGUUUCCCGUACGCAUUACAUUUUGCCGAGAUAUGACAGAAAGCACUAUACCCAGAAAGGGACAAUAAUUCGGUAACUGGAACCUUGCUGACCGAGAUUGUCGGUGUAACCGCGCCUAACGGUGUGUUCUUCAAGGUAUCGUGCGCGGUUGAUCGUAUUAAGGGAUGUUAUGUGGGAUGUAGCGUGUGAGCACACUCACGCGCGGAGCAAGUGUUUUAACAUAAAAUAUGACUGUGACUAGUAAACAAUUUCUCCGUUUAAAGAAAACAGCUGAGUAAGAGCACAUAUGAAAUAGAGAAAGGCAAUACAAUGGGAAAGAAACCGAGAAGCAACGUGCGUUCACAUAUAAGUUAUUGGUUUACGAGAAAAGGAAAAUAAAGACAAUAUAUAUACCAGGAGAACUAUUUCCCUAUGGAUCGCGUGCCGCCGGAAGGCAUUUGCACAGAAGCGACAAGACAGACGCGGUAACAAGGCAAUGGCUCGACGUUAAAUUGCAGGUGAUGUGCGAAACAAGACAGCCAAGCUCUUGAAUGUCAAAGUGCUGACAUUCAUUGAGCGCUUCAAAUUUCCGUUUCUUCCUUUGAGCGCAUCACAAUCGCGCGCAGUAUCGAGAAUAAAAAGAAAAGAAAAAAAAAAAAAAGGAAUCCCCGUGCCGGAAACAAAAACGGCAGGUAGAGAUGCACACCCGGAUUCUUGUUUCCACCGGCUUUUCCAACCGGCCGCUCUUUCCGUUCUCUUUUAUGUUUCUUUCUAUUUUUAUUAUUUUUUUUUUUUCGCGAUCAUUUGACGACUGGACUACGGCCUCUUUCGAUCGUUAAAAAACCGUACCGUGUUCCGGAUACGGACGCGAUAUGCCUAUGCGAUUUUUAUUGUGUCCGAUAUCGCGGAGAGACCGACCAAUGCGGGGAUCGAAGCUGCAAUUCGAAACGCAGUCACGCGUUUCAUUGAAAACGUUCUUGCGUGAAGUGCACAAUAUGCGAAAUGUACAAUCGAAUAUGUCAGAAUUAGAGGCGUGUAUAGCGCGCAUUAUAGCUUGCAGAGAUUUCAAACAACAGAAUUUACUAUCGAGUUUCUAUC